Molecule: microRNA, 23 nt
Filed under: Haemonchus contortus (barber pole worm)
Lineage: Eukaryota; Metazoa; Nematoda; Chromadorea; Rhabditida; Trichostrongylidae
Also listed under: 1 other name
Description: hco-miR-277
Gene: hco-miR-277
Source: miRBase by way of RNAcentral
AAAAUGCACCUACCUGGUAUGCA